RNAcentral lists this ribosomal RNA (497 nucleotides) under uncultured bacterium. RNAcentral describes it as "partial 16S ribosomal RNA". It matches the Rfam family "Bacterial small subunit ribosomal RNA", at positions 28 to 507 of the family's 1533-position model. The record is from RNAcentral.
GAUGAACGCUGGCGGCGUGCCUAAUACAUGCAAGUCGAGCGAACAGACGAGGAGCUUGCUCCUCUGACGUUAGCGGCGGACGGGUGAGUAACACGUGGAUAACCUACCUAUAAGACUGGGAUAACAUCGGGAAACCGGAGCUAAUACCGGAUAAUAUAUUGAACCGCAUGGUCCAAUAGUGAAAGACGGUUUUGCUGUCACUUAUAGAUGGAUCCGCGCCGCAUUAGCUAGUUGGUAAGGUAACGGCUUACCAAGGCAACGAUGCGUAGCCGACCUGAGAGGGUGAUCGGCCACACUGGAACUGAGACACGGUCCAGACUCCUACGGGAGGCAGCAGUAGGGAAUCUUCCGCAAUGGGCGAAAGCCUGACGGAGCAACGCCGCGUGAGUGAUGAAGGUCUUCGGAUCGUAAAACUCUGUUAUUAGGGAAGAACAAAUGUGUAAGUAACUAUGCACGUCUUGACGGUACCUAAUCAGAAAGCCACGGCUAACUACGUG